Molecule: non-coding RNA, 46 nt
Filed under: Schistosoma curassoni
Lineage: Eukaryota; Metazoa; Platyhelminthes; Trematoda; Strigeidida; Schistosomatidae
Source: RNAcentral
GCACUGUUGAGGGGUCCCACAAUAGGACGAAACGGCCUUCCAGUGU